UCACCCCUCAAGCCCCCGGGCUUGGUGUUGGACGGUUUGGUGAAGGCCUCCGGGCGGUCACCCCUCCUAAAGACAAUGACGGCGGCCUGUUGGAACCCCCGGUACAUUGAGCUUCUUAACUGAGCACGUAUCGGAUCAAGGGAGCCCAGGCCCCGGUCUUCUCCCUUCAUUGGGAAAAUUUAUCAAGG
RNAcentral lists this unclassified non-coding RNA (188 nucleotides) under uncultured Capronia. RNAcentral's name for it is "sequence contains ITS2". The record is from RNAcentral. Lineage: Eukaryota; Fungi; Ascomycota; Eurotiomycetes; Chaetothyriales; Herpotrichiellaceae.